Molecule: long non-coding RNA, 508 nt
Organism: Betta splendens (Siamese fighting fish)
Lineage: Eukaryota; Metazoa; Chordata; Actinopteri; Anabantiformes; Osphronemidae
Exons: 3
Source: RefSeq, a predicted model, not a curated record
UCUAAGGAAGGAAUGACAGAAAGCUGUAUGACGGAGAGACUGAAUGAAUGAAAUGAUCUUAGUGGAGGUUUGAAUAAAGGCUAAUUGUUUUACUAAUAGUUAAACAAGGGAAGAGACGCUUGAUGGAAAACAUCCCAAAAACCCUUUGAGAAUAAAACCCGCCUCCAACCUCUCCACUUCAGACUGAAGCAGAAGCUGAAGACGGACAGGAAGCGAGAGACUGCGGCGGAGCAAAAAGAAGACGGAGGAGACGUGCUGCUUAUUGCAACUUUUUAAAUCUGCCUCCACUUCGCUCACUUUCUGGAGACGGCCAAGGCCGGCAGAAAGACAAUAACAGCUGUGGAGAGGUGAGGCCAGAGCCGCUGCAUCACUUCAGGUUUCUGUCAGGAGGAGCGGCUGAGCGCACCCCAUCCUGUGUGUCUGGAUGUCCUCUCAGAUUGCCCAACAGAUAAUCCAUCACACAGUCAGUGUGUCUGACAGGAAGAGGUCUCAGUCAACUUUGUAGCAU